This 528-nucleotide unclassified non-coding RNA is filed under the name Hevea brasiliensis (rubber tree). The record is from RNAcentral. Lineage: Eukaryota; Viridiplantae; Streptophyta; Magnoliopsida; Malpighiales; Euphorbiaceae.
GUUCUUGACAAUGCUGUCCAAAAGAUAUAGCGAUGGCAGUUUUUGAUCCACAGGAACCUCGAUGAUGCGGGCACAGAUAGCGUCAGCAAUGCCCUCCCCAUGCUCCCUCAANNNNNNNNNNNUCGGUAAUGACAGGCUUCGAAUUGAAAAUCAAUUCAUCAAGCACCAACUCAUAAAGCUGCACAAUCUCCUCGGUACUCAGAAUAGGCCCUGCCACGUCAUCCUCCUCCGCAGACACCCUGACCUGCUCUUCCCGCUGCUUCAACAAUGCCUUGAACCUGUCGAACAAUGACGGUGGCGGCUUCUGCAAUAGCUCAUUGCUGGGCAUGGGCUUGGAGGAGCUACUAGUAAACCUAGGGUUUUGAAGUACUUUAUCCGAUUCCAUUUCCAGUCAAGCCGAGAGAAAAGAGUAACAGUAAUAAAGAGUGCGAAUUAGGGUUUGGAAGAAACAUGAGAAGACGCUGAUUGAAUUAGGGUUUCUAAUCGUCACCCUGGAAUUAGAGAGACAGAGCAUAGAGUUUGAACCGG